AAUGCUGUGGCCGAGUGGUUAAGACGAUAGACUUAAAAUCUUUUAGGAUUUUCCUGCGCAGGUUCAAAUCCUGUCGACAACG
RNAcentral lists this transfer RNA (82 nucleotides) under Dreissena polymorpha. It matches the Rfam family "tRNA". From Rfam's summary of the family: Transfer RNA (tRNA) molecules are approximately 80 nucleotides in length. Their secondary structure includes four short double-helical elements and three loops (D, anti-codon, and T loops). The record is from Rfam by way of RNAcentral. Lineage: Eukaryota; Metazoa; Mollusca; Bivalvia; Myida; Dreissenidae.